This 168-nucleotide ribosomal RNA is filed under the name Naumovozyma castellii. Its description in RNAcentral is "partial 18S ribosomal RNA". It matches the Rfam family "Eukaryotic small subunit ribosomal RNA", at positions 1484 to 1653 of the family's 1831-position model. Lineage: Eukaryota; Fungi; Ascomycota; Saccharomycetes; Saccharomycetales; Saccharomycetaceae. The record is from RNAcentral.
GGGCUGCACGCGCGCUACACUGACGGAGCCAGCGAGUCUAACCUUGGCCGAGAGGUCUUGGUAAUCUUGUGAAACUCCGUCGUGCUGGGGAUAGAGCAUUGUAAUUAUUGCUCUUCAACGAGGAAUUCCUAGUAAGCGCAAGUCAUCAGCUUGCGUUGAUUACGUCCC